AUACGGAGGGGGCUAGCGUUGUUCGGAAUUACUGGGCGUAAAGCGCGCGUAGGCGGAUUGAUCAGUCAGGGGUGAAAUCCCGAGGCUUAACCUCGGAACUGCCUUUGAUACUGUCAAUCUUGAGUUCGAGAGAGGUGAGUGGAAUUCCUAGUGUAGAGGUGAAAUUCGUAGAUAUUAGGAAGAACACCAGUGGCGAAGGCGGCUCACUGGCUCGAUACUGACGCUGAGGUGCGAAAGCGUGGGGAGCAAACAGGAGUAGAUACCCUAGUAGUCC
Molecule: ribosomal RNA, 274 nt
Filed under: uncultured bacterium
Lineage: Bacteria
Description: partial 16S ribosomal RNA
Rfam family: Bacterial small subunit ribosomal RNA
Source: RNAcentral